RNAcentral lists this ribosomal RNA (460 nucleotides) under uncultured bacterium. RNAcentral's name for it is "partial 16S ribosomal RNA". It matches the Rfam family "Bacterial small subunit ribosomal RNA", at positions 28 to 507 of the family's 1533-position model. The record is from RNAcentral.
GACGAACGCUGGCGGCGGGCUUAACACAUGCAAGUCGAGCGGUAAGGCCUCGUCGGCGGUCCACUACCGGGGCAGGGGGGAGUAAAACGUGGAUGACCUUCCCUCAGCGCUGGGGAAAGCGUGGGAAAAUGGGUCCAAUUACGGAAAUGACCCUGAGUGGCAAGGGGGGGGGUGGACAGAUUUUUCGCCUCGAGAUGGGCCCGGGGCCUAUCAGCUUGUUGGUGGGGUGAUGGCCUACCAAGGCGACGAUGGGUAGCCGGGCUGAGAGGGCGACCUGCCACCCUGUGCCUGAGACACCGCUCGGAAUCCUUCGGCAGGGGGCAGUGGGGUAUAUUGCGCAAUGGGCGGGAGCCUGACGCAGCGACGCCUCGUGGGGGAUGUCGGCCUUCGGGUUGUAAACCUCUUUCAACCCCGACGAAUUUGGACGGUAGCAGUAGAAGAAGCACCGGCUAACUACGUG